RNAcentral lists this ribosomal RNA (190 nucleotides) under uncultured eukaryote. Its description in RNAcentral is "partial 18S ribosomal RNA". It matches the Rfam family "Eukaryotic small subunit ribosomal RNA", at positions 1487 to 1676 of the family's 1831-position model. The record is from RNAcentral.
CCGCACGCGCGCUACUCUGACUGGAUCAACGAGUUGUCCACCUUGGCUGAGGAGUCUGGGUAAUCUUGUAAAAUCCUCUCGUGAUGGGGAUAGAUUAUUGCAAUUAUUAAUCUUCAACGAGGAAUUCCUAGUAAGGGUGGUUCAACAGACCGCCCUGAUUACCUCCCUGCCCCUUGUACACACCGCCCGU